Molecule: ribosomal RNA, 489 nt
Filed under: uncultured bacterium
Lineage: Bacteria
Description: partial 16S ribosomal RNA
Rfam family: Bacterial small subunit ribosomal RNA
Source: RNAcentral
AGUGAACGCUGGCGGUAGGCCUAACACAUGCAAGUCGAACGGCAGCACAGUAAGAGCUUGCUCUUACGGGUGGCGAGUGGCGGACGGGUGAGGAAUACAUCGGAAUCUACUUUUUCGUGGGGGAUAACGUAGGGAAACUUACGCUAAUACCGCAUACGACCUACGGGUGAAAGCAGGGGAUCUUCGGACCUUGCGCGAUUGAAUGAGCCGAUGUCGGAUUAGCUAGUUGGCGGGGUAAAGGCCCACCAAGGCGACGAUCCGUAGCUGGUCUGAGAGGAUGAUCAGCCACACUGGAACUGAGACACAUUACAGACGCCUACGGGAGGCAGCAGUGUGGAAUAGUUGACAAUGGGCGCAAGCCUGAUCCAGCCAUACCGCGUGGGUGAAGAAGGCCUGCGGGUUGUCACGCCCUUUUGUUGGCAACGAAAAGCAGCAGGUUAACACCCCGCUGUCCUGACGGUACCCAAAAAAUAAGCCCCGGCUAACUUC